Molecule: ribosomal RNA, 503 nt
Filed under: uncultured bacterium
Lineage: Bacteria
Description: partial 16S ribosomal RNA
Rfam family: Bacterial small subunit ribosomal RNA
Source: RNAcentral
AUUGAACGCUGGCGGCAGGCUUAACACAUGCAAGUCGAGCGGGGUGAUGGUGCUUGCACUAUCACUUAGCGGCGGACGGGUGAGUAAUGCUUAGGAAUCUGCCUAUUAGUGGGGGACAACAUCUCGAAAGGGAUGCUAAUACCGCAUACGUCCUACGGGAGAAAGUAGGGGAUCACUUGUGACCUUGCGCUAAUAGAUGAGCCUAAGUCGGUUUAGCUAGUUGGUGGGGUACAGGCGUACCAAGGCGACGAUCUGUAGCGGGUCUGAGAGGAUGCUCCGCCACACUGGGACUGAGACACGGCCCAGACUCCUACGGGAGGCAGCAGUGGGGAAUAUUGGACAAUGGGGGGAACCCUGAUCCAGCCAUGCCGCGUGUGUGAAGAAGGCCUUAUGGUUGUAAAGCACUUUAAGCGAGGAGGAGGCUCUUUUGGUCAAUACCCAAGAUGAGUGGACGUUACUCGCAGAAUAAGCACCGGCUAACUCUGUGCCAGCAGCCGCCGUAA